This is a long non-coding RNA of Sipha flava (yellow sugarcane aphid), 1550 nucleotides long. RefSeq lists it as uncharacterized. The transcript has 4 exons. The record is from RefSeq and is a predicted model, not a curated record. NCBI's taxonomy places the organism in Eukaryota, Metazoa, Arthropoda, Insecta, Hemiptera, Aphididae.
CGUAAAUAGGUAUAAAACUUUAUAAAAUAUAGAAACACUUUGCAUGAAAACUAAACUAGAACACAACUGAAAUGCAACACGAGUACACAACACAACGAAAAGUAGAUCAAAACUUCAAGAUGAACUUAUAAAUAAUAUAAAUAUGUGCAGAUGUUUUGAAAGAAAUAAUGGUGAAAGAUAUUGAAGAAGUUGAGGUGUUUGAAAUUAUGUGAUGAAGCAAGGUGAAAUAUAAAAUAUGUUUUAUACAUGGACUUCUUAAUUUAUUUUUAUUAAAUUAAUAUAUAGGUGUUAUAAACAAGAACAAAUGGCAUUAUGUGUAAGGUAUGUUAAAAUCUAGAUGUUGUUGAGAGAUUUCUCGAUUUUAUAGAUUGUUCUAAGAAUCAAGAUGCUGAAAGUUUAUAUCAUUACAUAUUUUGAUACCUGAAAAAGUGUAAACUUUGCCACAAAUAGUUGCUCAAUCAUAUGAUGGUGAAAAGGUUAUGCCUGGGAUAUUUAAUGGACUACAAAAUAAAAUAAAAAAAAAUCAAUAUCCUUACGAUAUUUAUGCCCACUGUAUGGCUCAUAAAAUGAACCUCAUUUUAAUUGAUAUGUGUAAAUACGUAAAGGCAAUGAAUAUUUAUACACAUCUUAGAUCUUCAUGAUUUUAUUUAUUACUUAUAUUAAUAUUAGGAAACAAGGCAUGUGUAAUUGAGAUUUAACUUAGAUUCAAACUAAACUAUUAAUAAAACAUUCGAUAAUGACUAGACUUAUUGACACUAGAUGGAAUUGCCGUUAUCGAAAUAUAGAGUCCGUUAAAAAUAGUUAUAAAGCAAUUAUUCAAGCUUUAGAACAAAAAAUUGAAAAUGAAUAUGAUAGAGGAGUAAAUGAAGCAAAUGAACAACGGAGUAUUUCUCUAAGCUUUGGUGUGAAAUAGAAAUCUUUGCUGAAGAUAAUGAAAUAUCAAUACAAACGCCAUCUAAAGGAUGUAAAAGAAAAAUACAAUAGCCACACAAUCUUCAACAUUUUGAUACUAUUGCAACCACAAGUGCUGAACAAAAUAUUAAUGACACCAUUGAAACUAUUGAAGAUUAUUUUAGAAAAAAUGUUUCCUUUCCUGUAUUUAAUGCUAUCUUGAUAAAUCUGGAGAAAAUAUUUUCUAUUGAAAGCCUCCAAAUGGCUACAGCUGUUGAUCAAUUUUUUCAAUUAAACUUGGAGGAAAGUCUUUUCUUUGUAGAUCAUUAUAAAGAUUUGAUGAAUGUAUCUAAAGAUGUAUUACAAUCAGAAAUAGAAGUGAAAAAUAAUUGUAUAUUGUAAUCUACCGAUGAAAAUUAUAAAACUUUAAAUGAUGUGAAAAAGGUUUUAACAAAACAGACUUUCCCUAAUUUAUAAAAACUAUUUCAAGUUACUUUAACAAUUCCUAUAAGUUCCUCCACUCGUGAAAGGAGUUUUUCGGCCAUGCGUAGAAUAAAAACUUGGCUUAGAACUUCUAUGCUGUAGGAAAGGUUCAACAACACCUCAAUAUUAUAUAUUGAAAAAUAAAUUUCUAAAUCUAUUAAUACUGAAACAAUUGU